CGCCAUGGGUGAUGAGAUUGACAAUUUUACAGUUAUCCCUGUCUGAUAAACUUGAUGAUGAAAUUGUAUAGUCUGACAUGUUC
Small nucleolar RNA from Lathyrus oleraceus (garden pea), 83 nucleotides. RefSeq annotates it as small nucleolar RNA R38. NCBI's taxonomy places the organism in Eukaryota, Viridiplantae, Streptophyta, Magnoliopsida, Fabales, Fabaceae. The record is from RefSeq and is a predicted model, not a curated record. The transcript has a single exon.